UCGAUUCCUGCUAACGAGCGACCCGAGGAACAUGUUUAAUGCACGGGCGUCGGGACGGGGGAAACCACGGACCGAUGCCCCGAGCACGGCGUCGACCACCGGUCUCUCGUCGUGCAAACAACCAACCCCGCGCAGAAACGCGCCAAGGAAAACUAAAAAAGGAUUGUCCUGCCUCCCUAGUGCCGUAUGCGGUGCGCACGGGAGGAUCACGGACGCCCAAAGAAACA
RNAcentral lists this ribosomal RNA (227 nucleotides) under Gentiana pseudoaquatica. Lineage: Eukaryota; Viridiplantae; Streptophyta; Magnoliopsida; Gentianales; Gentianaceae. The record is from RNAcentral.